Molecule: ribosomal RNA, 253 nt
Filed under: uncultured bacterium
Lineage: Bacteria
Description: partial 16S ribosomal RNA
Rfam family: Bacterial small subunit ribosomal RNA
Source: RNAcentral
GACGAACCAUGCAAACGUUAUUCGGAAUUACUGGGCUUAAAGCGUGCGUAGGCGGCUCAGAAAGUUGGGUGUGAAAGCCCUCGGCUCAACCGAGGAAUUGCGCCCAAAACUACUGGGCUUGAGGGAGUUAGAGGUGAGCGGAACUCACGGUGGAGCGGUGAAAUGCGUAGAUAUCGGAAGGAACAUCAGUGGCGAAGGCGACUUCCUGGACCAAUACUGACGCUCAGGUGCGAAAGCGUGGGGAGCAAACAGG